CCUACGGGAGGCUGCAGUGGGGAAUAUUGGACAAUGGGGGCAACCCUGAUCCAGCCAUGCCGCGUGUGUGAAGAAGGCCCUCGGGUUGUAAAGCACUUUCAGUGAGGAAGAACGCCUGGUGGUUAAUACCCAUCAGGAAAGACAUCACUCACAGAAGAAGCACCGGCUAACUCCGUGCCAGCAGCCGCGGUAAUACGGAGGGUGCGAGCGUUAAUCGGAAUUACUGGGCGUAAAGCGCGCGUAGGUGGCUUGAUAAGCCGGUUGUGAAGCCCCGGGCUCAACCUGGGAACGGCAUCCGGAACUGUCAAGCUAGAGUGCAGGAGAGGAAGGUAGAAUUCCCGGUGUAGCGGUGAAAUGCGUAGAGAUCGGGAGGAAUACCAGUGGCGAAGGCGGCCUUCUGGACUGACACUGACACUGAGGUGCGAAAGCGUGGGUAGCAAACAGGAUUAGAUACCCGAGUAGUC
Molecule: ribosomal RNA, 464 nt
Filed under: Vreelandella stevensii
Lineage: Bacteria; Pseudomonadati; Pseudomonadota; Gammaproteobacteria; Oceanospirillales; Halomonadaceae
Description: partial 16S ribosomal RNA
Rfam family: Bacterial small subunit ribosomal RNA
Source: RNAcentral